This 1282-nucleotide long non-coding RNA is filed under the name Durio zibethinus. Its description in RNAcentral is "long non-coding RNA (DZIB_LNC002292)". Lineage: Eukaryota; Viridiplantae; Streptophyta; Magnoliopsida; Malvales; Malvaceae. The record is from RNAcentral.
UUUUUUUUUUCGACUUCUCAAAGUCUUUUUUUUUUUUUUAAGACCCCUUUUUUAGCUUUUCAAAGAUUUUUUUUUUUUCAAUUUUCCAAAAGCCAAACUUCUCUUCGUUUCAGGACUUUUUUACUUUUCAAAAAUUUUUUUAACCCUUUAUAAAGCUUUUUUUUUUUAAAUCAUUUCCUCACCAAUAAAAAAAAACUCUGUUCUCUCAUUCAAUUUCAAAACCAGUCUCCGGUGACGAUGCCCAAGCCGCCGCCUUACCCCGCCGCCCACUCCGGCCGGCGUCAUUUGACUCCCAAAAUUUCGUCGUAGCUUAUCCUCAACGCCUCCAUUACAGAUUCUUGCUCGGACCUCCACAAAAACACUCCUCAACCGGUAGAUCUGAGAUUGAAGCCCAAAUGGUCAAACCAUCGUAACUCUUCCUUCCACCGUCCCAUCUGUCCUAAACCAAAAUAUGUUGUUCUACUCCAUUCUUUCCUCGUUUUCAACCGUUGGGCUCGUCCCAAAAUGAGCCCUUCCCGCCGUUCAUCUCUUUUCUUGUUUUUUUGUUUUGACAAAACAAGCCCUUUUUUAAUCUGAUGCAGCGCCGCUGUUCACGCCAUCGCUGGCCUCGCUGUCUCGCCUGGCGUUGACGGCUUCCUCUGUUGUGAUUUUUGGUGUUGUGGGAUUUUUUUGUUUUGCGAUUGAUGUGGGUUUUUAGGUGUUAGUAUGGUGGGUAUAUGGCAGUGAUGGGGUUAGGGGUGCUUGUGGGUGGUUGCUUGGGUGGUGGUCGGUUCAGGAGGGGCGUAUGGUGAAGGGUCGAGGCUCUCAUGAAUUAAGCAACCAUAACCCUCUUUGAUAAGGUAGCACUAAUAAUCCCUCAUGAAUUGUGAUCUUGGAUAUUCAAAUAUAAUCUCUACAACGAAGCAUAAUUUUGGAAAAAAGAAAAAAAAACUAACAGAUAAAUAUUUCUAUUCCAAGUAAAUGAAUAUUUAGCUCAAUUACCUUAUUUAAACAGUUGGAUUUGAACCUUCAUUCCAUCUUAAUUAUGUUUGAUAAAAAAAAUAAUUUAUCUCCUAAAAAGAACAGUUGUCAUAAAAAAUGUGUAAUUCAUAUAACAAUAUAGUAUUUUACAUUAAUUAUCGAUGAAUAAUCGACUCUUCCAAUAAAACAACCAGCUAUCAGCCCAAACCAACAAUGAAUGGCGAAUCCAAUUCUAACCCCAACCCACCAAAACUGACUUUGCUUUGAUUGGAGAAGGAAAUUUCCGAAGAAUGAUGAAACCUUUCAUGAUCAUCCAAUAUCC